GGUGAUCCCCCAAAGUGAUCUCAGCCUGCAUGCUGCACCAGGACAUGCUUCUACCUGGAUCCAGGAUUUUGCCAAAGUAAACACUUGCAGUGGAUCCCAACCAGCAGCAGUACCUGUCCCCGACCCCAUUGAGGCCCAGCAAUCAAUUUCCUUAAAUACUGCACCUGUGAGUCAGCCCCUUGGG
This is a long non-coding RNA of Choloepus didactylus (southern two-toed sloth), 184 nucleotides long. RefSeq lists it as uncharacterized. The transcript is spliced from 3 exons. Lineage: Eukaryota; Metazoa; Chordata; Mammalia; Pilosa; Megalonychidae. The record is from RefSeq and is a predicted model, not a curated record.